GAAACUAUGUAUAAACCAUUUCCCAUCUUGCUUUCUCUUCAAAUGAAUACUGGCCUUGCAAUCAGUCUUGGGACAUGAUCGGGAACUGCCAGACUCACGCUUGGUCCCAAAUCUAGAACAAGCAAUCUUCACAUCAAUAAAUUUGCCCGACUUCUUUGACCUGCGACUAGCCUUUAUCGUGAUGCCAAAUCCCACUGACCUCGCAUAUUCCCUGUAGUAAGCAUAGGCAGCCUCCUUUGUAUCGAAUUCUAUACCCUUUUCUGGCUCACCAUUUUCUAUUCCGUUGUCUAUAAUAUCAACAUCAACAAUAUCCAUACCUAUCCCAUUCCCAUCAACAUUCUCUUUCCCGACAUGACUUGGAAUUGAAUCAUCAAUAGCAUUUGUAUCCACAUACACAUCUAACCUUUUAUCCUGCCCCGAAGACAAUCGAAGAUCAAUUUCCAUAACUUAAACCCUACCAAUGCACAUUUUAUGAAUCACUUCAACAAACAACUACAGGAUUCUGCCCAUCAGUAGUAAUC
RNAcentral lists this unclassified non-coding RNA (521 nucleotides) under Hevea brasiliensis (rubber tree). The record is from RNAcentral. Lineage: Eukaryota; Viridiplantae; Streptophyta; Magnoliopsida; Malpighiales; Euphorbiaceae.